GGCCUGCGCGGAAGAUGUAACGGGGCUAAACCAUGCACCGAAGCUGCGGCAGCGACACUAUGUGUUGUUGGGUAGGGGAGCGUUCUGUAAGCCUGUGAAGGUGGCCUGUGAGGGUUGCUGGAGGUAUCAGAAGUGCGAAUGCUGACAUAAGUAACGAUAAAGCGGGUGAAAAGCCCGCUCGCCGGAAGACCAAGGGUUCCUGUCCAACGUUAAUCGGGGCAGGGUGAGUCGACCCCUAAGGCGAGGCCGAAAGGCGUAGUCGAUGGGAAACAGGUUAAUAUUCCUGUACUUGGUGUUACUGCGAAGGGGGGACGGAGAAGGCUAUGUUGGCCGGGCGACGGUUGUCCCGGUUUAAGCGUGUAGGCUGGUUUUCCAGGCAAAUCCGGAAAACCAAGGCUGAGGCGUGAUGACGAGGCACUACGGUGCUGAAGCGACAAAUGCCCUGCUUCCAGGAAAAGCCUCUAAGCAUCAGGUAACAUCAAAUCGUACCCCAAACCGACACAGGUGGUCAGGUAGAGAAUACCAAGGCGCUUGAGAGAACUCGGGUGAAGGAACUAGGCAAAAUGGUGCCGUAACUUCGGGAGAAGGCACGCUGAUAUGUAGGUGAAGCGACUUGCUCGUGGAGCUGAAAUCAGUCGAAGAUACCAGCUGGCUGCAACUGUUUAUUAAAAACACAGCACUGUGCAAACACGAAAGUGGACGUAUACGGUGUGACGCCUGCCCGGUGCCGGAAGGUUAAUUGAUGGGGUUAGCGGUAACGCGAAGCUCUUGAUCGAAGCCCCGGUAAACGGCGGCCGUAACUAUAACGGUCCUAAGGUAGCGAAAUUCCUUGUCGGGUAAGUUCCGACCUGCACGAAUGGCGUAAUGAUGGCCAGGCUGUCUCCACCCGAGACUCAGUGAAAUUGAACUCGCUGUGAAGAUGCAGUGUACCCGCGGCAAGACGGAAAGACCCCGUGAACCUUUACUAUAGCUUGACACUGAACAUUGAGCCUUGAUGUGUAGGAUAGGUGGGAGGCUUUGAAGUGUGGACGCCAGUCUGCAUGGAGCCGACCUUGAAAUACCACCCUUUAAUGUUUGAUGUUCUAACGUUGGCCCGUAAUCCGGGUUGCGGACAGUGUCUGGUGGGUAGUUUGACUGGGGCGGUCUCCUCCUAAAGAGUAACGGAGGAGCACGAAGGUUGGCUAAUCCUGGUCGGACAUCAGGAGGUUAGUGCAAUGGCAUAAGCCAGCUUGACUGCGAGCGUGACGGCGCGAGCAGGUGCGAAAGCAGGUCAUAGUGAUCCGGUGGUUCUGAAUGGAAGGGCCAUCGCUCAACGGAUAAAAGGUACUCCGGGGAUAACAGGCUGAUACCGCCCAAGAGUUCAUAUCGACGGCGGUGUUUGGCACCUCGAUGUCGGCUCAUCACAUCCUGGGGCUGAAGUAGGUCCCAAGGGUAUGGCUGUUCGCCAUUUAAAGUGGUACGCGAGCUGGGUUUAGAACGUCGUGAGACAGUUCGGUCCCUAUCUGCCGUGGGCGCUGGAGAACUGAGGGGGGCUGCUCCUAGUACGAGAGGACCGGAGUGGACGCAUCACUGGUGUUCGGGUUGUCAUGCCAAUGGCACUGCCCGGUAGCUAAAUGCGGAAGAGAUAAGUGCUGAAAGCAUCUAAGCACGAAACUUGCCCCGAGAUGAGUUCUCCCUGACUCCUUGA
This 1687-nucleotide ribosomal RNA is filed under the name human gut metagenome. RNAcentral's name for it is "bacterial LSU rRNA". It matches the Rfam family "Bacterial large subunit ribosomal RNA", at positions 1156 to 2826 of the family's 2925-position model. The record is from RNAcentral.